RNAcentral lists this long non-coding RNA (429 nucleotides) under Vombatus ursinus (common wombat). RNAcentral's name for it is "lncRNA (ENSVURG00010014680.1)". Lineage: Eukaryota; Metazoa; Chordata; Mammalia; Diprotodontia; Vombatidae. The record is from RNAcentral.
CGAAAUCUGCGGAGACAGCCCUAAGCGAUCCCGUCCGCAGCCACCGGGCCCUGGCGGCGGCGUCCAACUUUUAGACGGGAGGGACUCCUUGACUGCCUGGCCCGCGGUUCUGUUCCAGAGACUGAGCGCACUUUGCUCUUCUCGGUGUUUUACAUUAUCCGGGAGAGGGCAAAGACGGAGGGCGGGCCGGGGCAGACCGCGGGUGGCAGGCAUCGCAGCUCGCGCGCUGAAGAACGGCACUGCUGGCGGCCAGGGGCGUGCGGAGGAGGCGGUAAACACACACGCACUCCCGGACUCGCACACUCGGACACACACGCACUCACGCGCACCCCAGCGCAAGGGCCAUCCUUCGGCGAGACCUGUUUAGUAAUAAACCCCCGAGGGACGGAGCGUGAGGGGCCGCGCCGCAGACCAGGACUCUGUGGAUAA